GGUCUUUAGAUUUUUAUUUAAGAUCAGGCCUGCCCAUUGAUUUGAAAAAUUAAAAGGCUGCGGUAUUUUAACUGUACGAAGGUAGCAUAAUCACUUGUCUUUUAAUUGGAGGCUAGAAUGAAUGGUUUGAUGAGAAAAAAACUUUCUUUUUUUAAUUUAUAUUAAUUUAAUUUUUUAGUUAAAAAGCUUAAAUUUUUUUAUAGGACGAGAAGACCCUAUAGAAGUUGAUUAUAUUAAUAAUUUAUUAUUUUUUGUUAUUAAAAUAUUUUUUUAAAUUAUAUAUUUUUGUUGGGGUGACAUUAAAAUUUAUUUAACUUUUAAUAUUUAUUUCAUUAAUUUAUGUUUUUUUGAUCCAAUAUUUAUUGAUUAAAAGUUUAACUUACCUUAGGGAUAACAGCGUAAUUUUUUCGGAGAGCCCAUAUCGAUGAAUAAAGUUUGCGA
This 441-nucleotide ribosomal RNA is filed under the name Limnogonus cereiventris. Its description in RNAcentral is "partial 16S large subunit ribosomal RNA". Lineage: Eukaryota; Metazoa; Arthropoda; Insecta; Hemiptera; Gerridae. The record is from RNAcentral.